Molecule: long non-coding RNA, 1116 nt
Filed under: Manacus vitellinus (golden-collared manakin)
Lineage: Eukaryota; Metazoa; Chordata; Aves; Passeriformes; Pipridae
Description: lncRNA (ENSMVIG00005008121.1)
Source: RNAcentral
CCGGAAACAUCAGCACAAGAUAAAAUUUCAGAAAAGCUCUCCAGAAACAGUCUGAGGAGUUUUAUUUUCGGUUUUGGUUUGGUUUGUUUGGGGUUUUUUUUUUCAGGACUAUGAGGCCUGAAACCCUGUGAAGAAGCCCCAAAGUGUCUGUGAUUUCCACUCUGUCCCACCAAGUGUAAGAGCAUUUACCUCAUUUUCAGGGACACACGGACUUGGACCAGGGCGAGUCGCUGCCAGGGCUGACGUUUGCAGAGGCAUCAGAGCCAGAAGGAACUGGACUGCAGCCACCUCAGAGAGGAGUGGAAAGAAGGGGAAAUCCCUCUGUAACGCGAAUAAAGAACCGAAAAUUCCACAACAAUUCUUGAAGAUUUCUUCCCUGCUGCAGCGUCUGCUCUGAGGUGACCAAAAUCCCCCAUCAACCUUCAGGGAAUUUUCUGAGAAAACCGUAAGUAACCUCAAAAUGAGAGUGUUUGGAGGGAAAAAUUAAGAACAAAACAGCGGGGGCUUGGUGAAAGCUGGCAUUGUCCAUUUAAGGUUUUUUACAGGUCCCAGACACUUUGCAGUUUGUGUCCCGUUGUACUAAGUAGCAAGAAAUAAGUGUAGAGACAGCAGACAAAAUACCCUGUGUGGGUACAUGCCAUCCUGGGCAGUUCUCUGCAUCACAGGCAUCAGAAUUCCUGUCAGGCAGAAUGCUCAUUGCAGGAACAGGCAGUGACCAUUUGCAGCCAUGCCCACCUGACACAUCCACACUUUCCUGGAAGGGCUACACAGACAGUUCUUAAACCAUGAAAGAGCCGGUGAAAGUAUUACAUUUAACACCGGGAUUCAUCUGAGGAGGGAGGUGCCUGCAGCUUUUUGUUUCUUUUCAAGCAGCUGGAGUGGCAGGAAGGAUGUUACUGUGGCAGGUCAGCUGAUGGGAUCAAAAAUAGGCCAAGUACUUACCUUGAUUUUUAAAUUGAAUAGCUGUUCCUAAAUAUUUCCAUAGGAUGAGACUCGCUGUAGGAGAGUGUCAGGGAAAUAGUGCCUUUCAAAGAAAAUUCGUUUGAACUUAGUGUUGCAAUUCAGAUCUCCCUCCUGUUCAGCCAAUAAAACGUCCAGCUGUGUUUCUGGCUGUCA